RNAcentral lists this ribosomal RNA (649 nucleotides) under uncultured Vibrio sp. Its description in RNAcentral is "bacterial SSU rRNA". It matches the Rfam family "Bacterial small subunit ribosomal RNA", at positions 35 to 663 of the family's 1533-position model. Lineage: Bacteria; Pseudomonadati; Pseudomonadota; Gammaproteobacteria; Vibrionales; Vibrionaceae. The record is from RNAcentral.
GCUGGCGGCAGGCCUAACACAUGCAAGUCGAGCGGAAACGACAACAUUGAAUCUUCGGAGGAUUUGUUGGGCGUCGAGCGGCGGACGGGUGAGUAAUGCCUAGGAAAUUGCCUUGAUGUGGGGGAUAACCAUUGGAAACGAUGGCUAAUACCGCAUAAUGCCUACGGGCCAAAGAGGGGGAUCUUCGGACCUCUCGCGUCAAGAUAUGCCUAGGUGGGAUUAGCUAGUUGGUGAGGUAAUGGCUCACCAAGGCGACGAUCCCUAGCUGGUCUGAGAGGAUGAUCAGCCACACUGGAACUGAGACACGGUCCAGACUCCUACGGGAGGCAGCAGUGGGGAAUAUUGCACAAUGGGCGAAAGCCUGAUGCAGCCAUGCCGCGUGUAUGAAGAAGGCCUUCGGGUUGUAAAGUACUUUCAGUUGUGAGGAAGGGGGUAACGUUAAUAGCGUUAUCUCUUGACGUUAGCAACAGAAGAAGCACCGGCUAACUCCGUGCCAGCAGCCGCGGUAAUACGGAGGGUGCGAGCGUUAAUCGGAAUUACUGGGCGUAAAGCGCAUGCAGGUGGUUCAUUAAGUCUGAUGUGAAAGCCCGGGGCUCAACCUCGGAACUGCAUUUGAAACUGGUGAACUAGAGUGCUGUAGAGGGGGGUA